AUGUACUUGAUGUUGAUUAUCCAACUUGGAUAACUGUGGCAAUUCUAGAGCUAAUACAUGCACCAAAGCUCCGACUUUUGGACGAGCGCAUCUAUUAGAUUAAAACCAAUCGGGUUAUUUAACCCGUUAAUUGGUGACUCUGAAUAGCUCUGGCUGAUCGCAUGGUCUUGUACCGGCGACGUAUCUAUCAAGUGUCUGCCUUAUCAACUUUCGAUGGUAGUUUAUGUGCCUACCAUGGUUGUAACGGGUAACGGAGAAUAAGGGUUCGACUCCGGAGAGGGAGCCUGAGAAACGGCUACCACAUCCAAGGAAGGCAGCAGGCGCGCAAAUUACCCACUCUCGGAAUGAGGAGGUAGUGACGAAAAAUAACGAGACCGUUCUCUUUGAGGCCGGUUAUCGGAAUGGGUACAAUUUAAACCUGUUAACGAGGAUCUAUGAGAGGGCAAGUCUGGUGCCAGCAGCCGCGGUAAUUCCAGCUCUCAAAGUGUAUAUCGUCAUUGCUGCGGUUAAAAAGCUCGUAGUUGGAUCUGCGUCUCAGGACCUGGUCCAUCCAUUGGAUGAGAACUGGGCUCCUAGGCUAAUAUUGCCAGUUUUCCCUAUGUUACCUUGAUCGGUUGCGUAGGGUGGCCAGCAAGUUUACCUUGAAAAAAUUAGAGUGCUCAAUGCGGGCUAAUGCCUGAAUACUCGUGCAUGGAAUAAUGAAAUAGGAUCUCGGUUCUAUUUUGUUGGUUUUCUGAUCUGAGAUAAUGGUUAAGAGGGACGGACGGGGGCAUUCGUAUCGCUGCGUGAGAGGUGAAAUUCUUGGACCGUAGCGAGACGUCCAACUGCGAAAGCAUUUGCCAAGAAUGUCUUCAUUAAUCAAGAACGAAAGUCAG
RNAcentral lists this ribosomal RNA (875 nucleotides) under Setaria yehi. Its description in RNAcentral is "SSU rRNA". It matches the Rfam family "Eukaryotic small subunit ribosomal RNA", at positions 115 to 993 of the family's 1831-position model. Lineage: Eukaryota; Metazoa; Nematoda; Chromadorea; Rhabditida; Setariidae. The record is from RNAcentral.